This is a long non-coding RNA of Daphnia magna, 1076 nucleotides long. RefSeq lists it as uncharacterized. The record is from RefSeq and is a predicted model, not a curated record. Lineage: Eukaryota; Metazoa; Arthropoda; Branchiopoda; Diplostraca; Daphniidae. The transcript is spliced from 8 exons.
GUCGCGUUGGGCAGGGUAGGUUUCAAGUUCGGUUUCGAAGUGGUUGGUGUGUUACUGGACGGUAGAUUGUCAUUAGAUGGCAGUGCUGUUUAGUGGUGUCUGCUACUGUCGAGUGUGUCGGUAGUAAAAAAGUGUCUGAUGGCAUUCUGUAGUUCACAAUGAAAUGGAUAAUGAAGACAUUCAAAUGAUGUCUUUUGUUCAAGAUAAGUGUUAAAAUCCACAUGAUCUGGUGACAGAAUUUAAAUGGGACUUGUGUUAUCACAACCCCUGAGUACAAUGAAUACCAACAGUUCCCCAGAUCAAGAGGUCUAGUCUGAGGUGAUCCAUUUUUUUUUCAUUGGUCCGCAGUUCUGAAUUAAGGCUGGUAUGUGUAUUAUGCAUCGCCAUGCUGAGUACUAGAGGGAAGGAAUAACUCAAAAUGUGUUUGAUUCUGAACAAUGGUCAUUUGGGAAUCUAAAAAUUAUUUAAAAUAAAGAUUCAUCUCCUGGUACAUAGCUUGACUUGUCCUGAGCUGGCAAGGAUUCUAGCCAUGCAGAUCAGAAUUGAGUGCAAAUAUCAUUCAGGACUUUCUAUCUCAUGAUCCAUGACUGUUAUUCUGCCAUAGGCGUCUUCAUUUUAAAAAAUCUAUAACUGAUUGGUGAUUGGGAGGCCAUGCCUUUAUUAAACUAAAAUGUCAAUUACGGAAUGAAGGCUCCAGAAAACAAGACCAUGGUUUGGAAAUGGAAAUUUUGGUCCAGCCCUCUACCAUUAUAUUCAGAGUGAAAUGUAUAGAUGGGUUUCUACUGGAUAUUAAUUCCAACUCUCCCAUCUUGAGGUUUCACGAGGAAGUUUUGCAGCUGACUAUAAAAGAUGUCUUGUCUUAUAUUUGACGGUGUCAGAAAUAGAAGACGAAAAAAGAUGCUGCACUUUCGAAGAAACUUACCUGCACUUAACCGCUAGCCACUAAUUCGAACCGAAGAUAAAAUAUUAUAAUUUUUAUAAAUUGAAGUGCAUAUCUGGGCUCCCUUCUUUUCUGUGGCCCCGUUUCCCCUUGACUCGUAAUAAGCCCGUAGGGGGUCAUGCCCCUACUGUGAUCA